RNAcentral lists this ribosomal RNA (481 nucleotides) under uncultured bacterium. RNAcentral describes it as "partial 16S ribosomal RNA". It matches the Rfam family "Bacterial small subunit ribosomal RNA", at positions 28 to 523 of the family's 1533-position model. The record is from RNAcentral.
GACGAACGCUGGCGGCGUGCUUAACACAUGCAAGUCGAACGCUGAAGCCCUUUCGGGGGUGGAUGAGUGGCGAACGGGUGAGUAACACGUGGGUAAUCUGCCCUGCACUCUGGGAUAAGCCUUGGAAACGGGGUCUAAUACCGGAUAGGACACAUCGCCGCAUGGUGUGUGUGUGGAAAGUUCCGGCGGUGCAGGUUGAGCCCGCGGCCUAUCAGCUUGUUGGUGGGGUGAUGGCCUACCAAGGCGACGACGGGUAGCCGGCCUGAGAGGGUGAGCGGCCACACUGGGACUGGUACACGGCCCAGACGCCGACGGGAUGCAGCAGUGGGGAAUCUUGCGCAAUGGGCGAAAGCCUGACGCAGCAACGCCGCGUGGGGGAUGACGGCCUUCGGGUUGUAAACCUCUUUCGACCGGGACGAAGGGUGACUGACGGUACCGGUAGAAGAAGCACCGGCUAACUACGUGCCAGCAGCCGCCGUAA